Molecule: ribosomal RNA, 462 nt
Filed under: uncultured bacterium
Lineage: Bacteria
Description: partial 16S ribosomal RNA
Rfam family: Bacterial small subunit ribosomal RNA
Source: RNAcentral
GACGAACGCUGGCGGCGUGCUUAACACAUGCAAGUCGAGCGACGCUCUUCCUUCGGGGAGCUGACGGAGCGGCGAACGGGUGAGUAACACGUGGGCAACCUGCCCCUAGCUCUGGGACAACACCGGGAAACCGGUGCUAAUACCGGAUACGACAUCGAGCGGCAUCUCUCGAUGUGGAAAGUUUUUUCGGCUAGGGAUGGGCCCGCGGCCUAUCAGCUUGUUGGUGGGGUAAUGGCCCACCAAGGCGACGACGGGUAGCCGGCCUGAGAGGGCGACCGGCCAAACUGGGACUGAGACACGGCCCAGACUCCUACGGGAGGCAGCGGUGGGGAAUAUUGCGCAAUGGGCGAAAGCCUGACGCAGCGACGCCGCGUGAGGGAUGACGGCCUUCGGGUAGUAAACCUCUUUCAGCAGGGACGAAUUCAGACGGUACCUGCAGAAGAAGCACCGGCCAACUACGUG